RNAcentral lists this ribosomal RNA (497 nucleotides) under uncultured bacterium. RNAcentral describes it as "partial 16S ribosomal RNA". It matches the Rfam family "Bacterial small subunit ribosomal RNA", at positions 28 to 507 of the family's 1533-position model. The record is from RNAcentral.
GAUGAACGCUGGCGGCGUGCCUAAUACAUGCAAGUCGAGCGAACGGACGAGAAGCUUGCUUCUCUGAUGUUAGCGGCGGACGGGUGAGUAACACGUGGAUAACCUACCUAUAAGACUGGGAUAACUUCGGGAAACCGGAGCUAAUACCGGAUAAUAUUUUGAACCGCAUGGUUCAAAAGUGAAAGACGGUCUUGCUGUCACUUAUAGAUGGAUCCGCGCUGCAUUAGCUAGUUGGUAAGGUAACGACUUACCAAGGCAACGAUGCAUAGCCGACCUGAGAGGGUGAUCGGGCACACUGGAACUGAGACACGGUCCAGACUCCUACGGGAGGCAGCAGUAGGGAAUCUUCCGCAAUGGGCGAAAGCCUGACGGAGCAACGCCGCGUGAGUGAUGAAGGUCUUCGGAUCGUAAAACUCUGUUAUUAGGGAAGAACAUAUGUGUAAGUAACUGUGCACAUCUUGACGGUACCUAAUCAGAAAGCCACGGCUAACUACGUG